GCCCGACUAGCUCACCGGUAGAGCGCCUCACUAGUAUCUCCCAGUGAAAUGAGGAGGCAACAGGUUCGACUCCUGUGUUGGGCA
Hypoxylon sp. CI-4A is the source of this 84-nucleotide non-coding RNA. The record is from the annotation of a GenBank genome assembly. Lineage: Eukaryota; Fungi; Ascomycota; Sordariomycetes; Xylariales; Hypoxylaceae.